This 468-nucleotide ribosomal RNA is filed under the name uncultured bacterium. RNAcentral's name for it is "partial 16S ribosomal RNA". It matches the Rfam family "Bacterial small subunit ribosomal RNA", at positions 28 to 507 of the family's 1533-position model. The record is from RNAcentral.
GACGAACGCUGGCGGCGUGCUUAACACAUGCAAGUCGAACGGAAAGGCCCUGCUUGUGUGGGGUGCUCGAGUGGCGAACGGGUGAGUAACACGGGAGUAACCUGCCCUGGGCUUUGGGAUAACUUCAGGAAACUGGGGCUAAUACCGGAUAGGAGCUCCUGCUGCAUGGUGGGGGUUGGAAAGUUUCGGCGGUUGGGGAUGGACUCGCGGCUUAUCAGCUUGUUGGUGGGGUAGUGGCUUACCAAGGCUUUGACGGGUGGCCGGCCUGAGAGGGUGACCGGCCACAUUGGGACUGAGAUACGGACCAGACUCCAACGGGAGGCAGCAGUGGGGAAUAUUGCACAAUGGGCGGAAGCCUGAUGCAGAAACGCCGCGUGCGGGAUGACGGCCUUCGGGUUGUAAACCGCUUUAGCCUGUGACGAAGCGUGAGUGACGGUAAUGGGUAAAGAAGCACCGGCUAACUACGUG